UGCGGGGAAGGCGGGGGACCCGGGACUUCCAAGUGUUCUGGCCAUGGAGGCAUGGUAUCCGUAACAUCCCCCAAAGGAGCUAAAGAAGAAAUCCACAAUUUACCAUGAGCAUUUCUCGUCUGAAGAUUGCCAAGCGAUUCCUCCAGGACAUUCCUCAAGAUCAAUUUCUGUUCAUCCACCUUGUCCUGGGAGGGACAUCAAUGGGUUUCCAUGUCCUUUGGCUUCUGGUUGAGUUCACUCAGUGGAGAACCCUGGCAAGAGGCAGGAAAAGGGGAGGAAGGCUUUAUGAUACAUGUGUUGAAUGUGCAGGUUCGUUACAUAGCAGCCUGACCGGUUUGAAUUUCACCUUCUGUUCACCUUGGAUGAGAGCAGUAAUCAUCACGAUCCCAGGGAACAGCCAAAGGAAGAGAAAAGGCAAAAGAUUUGGACAAGACUCAUGAAGACUAACAGCUCUUGGAUAAUUGAGAGAAGGCAGCUGCGUGAACAGUUUUGAUGCAAUCAUGAAGGCAGGGCCCAGUGCCUGUGGCAUCUGCCUUUUUCUGGAACCAAUCCAUAUUUCCUUGUGGUUUUCUAAGGUGCAGAGAGGGCACAUUGGGAACUUUGCUUGGGGUCUUUUUCACAUCUUAGAGGGAAGGUCCCUCAACAUCUGCAUUGGCGGAGUGUGAUCCUCAUGUCCCUCUGAAUGAUCUGGACUUGAGGUAACCAGCCCCUUCCAGGAAGCUGUCCCAUGAGUGAAGCCUCAGCAGCAGCCUCUGUCAGUCCCUCCCCCACAGAACCUUUGGCUUCCAUUUGACCAGCCUUGACAUCCAGUGUCCAAACACCGAUAAAAUUGAUUCCACUAAGCGUGGGAAAGUCCUGGAGCAUCGAUUGUUUCCUCCUCUGCACCCCCGAUACCCUGGCAUUAGCACUCUCCCAGAAUGUACCUUGCUUGUUUGAUUGGAGGAGGUCAAAGCCCUGAUGAAGAAUGAGUGGAAUUCCACAGGAUUGGAGCAGUCUUGAUAAAUGACAGCAGGGGAUGGUGUGGGGAGGGGAAAGGAUCAGAGGAAGUGUGGAUAAAUGAAUGGCUUAAAAAAUAAUCCACCUUUGCCUCCCCCUUUUCUACCAGUCUGUCUAGUGCUUCAGGGUGAAAAAAAAAAAAAAAAGCUUGCCUUUCUAAACAUUUGGAGUUUCAGAAAUGAUCUAUAGAGCAUGUUUAGUUUUUCAAGUUAAAAAUAUUAAAAGAAAAAAAA
Molecule: long non-coding RNA, 1229 nt
Organism: Homo sapiens (human)
Lineage: Eukaryota; Metazoa; Chordata; Mammalia; Primates; Hominidae
Gene: SOX9-AS1
Product: SOX9 antisense RNA 1
Source: Ensembl